This 257-nucleotide ribosomal RNA is filed under the name uncultured bacterium. Its description in RNAcentral is "partial 16S ribosomal RNA". It matches the Rfam family "Bacterial small subunit ribosomal RNA", at positions 513 to 769 of the family's 1533-position model. The record is from RNAcentral.
AGCCGCGGUAAGACGUAGGGCGCGAGCGUUGUCCGGAUUUAUUGGGCGUAAAGAGCGCGUAGGCGGCUUCUCAAGUCGGGUGUGAAAUCCCAGGGCUCAAGCCUGGAAGUGCAUUCGAAACUGGGUAGCUAGAGUACUGGAGAGGAAGGUGGAAUGCUUGGUGUAGAGGUGAAAUUCGUAGAUAUCAAGCGGAACACCGGUGGCGAAGGCGGCCUUCUGGACAGAUACUGACGCUGAGACACGAAAGCGUGGGGAGC